This 251-nucleotide ribosomal RNA is filed under the name uncultured bacterium. RNAcentral's name for it is "partial 16S ribosomal RNA". It matches the Rfam family "Bacterial small subunit ribosomal RNA", at positions 524 to 776 of the family's 1533-position model. The record is from RNAcentral.
UACAGAGGAUGCAAGCGUUAUCCGGAAUGAUUGGGCGUAAAGCGUCUGUAGGUGGCUUUUAAGUCCGCCGUCAAAUCCCAGGGCUCAACUCUGGACAGGCGGUGGAACUACCAAGCUGGAGUACGGUAGGGCAGAGGGAAUUUCCGGUGGAGCGGUGGAAAUGCGUAGAGAUCGGAAAGAACACCAACGGCGAAAGCACUCUGCUGGGCCGACACUGACACUGAGAGACGAAAGCUAGGGGAGCGAAUGGG